UUGCAUAAAUAUUGAAAAUAAAUAGAAGUUUAACAAUGGAGAUUUAAAUCUCCCAAUUCAUCACAAAUCUGAAUUUUCCAACUUCAACUAGAAAGGAAAGUGUUUAGCCACUCAUGGUGGACAAAAUCACAAAAGAAAAAAAAGAAAGAAGAGAUUGCUGUGUUUCUGGAGAGUUUCUGAAGCUGAGAGAUGAUCAGAAGAUGC
RNAcentral lists this long non-coding RNA (204 nucleotides) under Manihot esculenta (cassava). RNAcentral describes it as "long non-coding RNA (MESC_LNC009397)". Lineage: Eukaryota; Viridiplantae; Streptophyta; Magnoliopsida; Malpighiales; Euphorbiaceae. The record is from RNAcentral.